This 253-nucleotide ribosomal RNA is filed under the name uncultured bacterium. Its description in RNAcentral is "partial 16S ribosomal RNA". It matches the Rfam family "Bacterial small subunit ribosomal RNA", at positions 524 to 776 of the family's 1533-position model. The record is from RNAcentral.
UACGGAGGGUGCAAGCGUUAUCCGGAUUCACUGGGUUUAAAGGGUGCGUAGGUGGGUCUGUAAGUCAGUGGUGAAAUCUCCGGGCUUAACCCGGAAACUGCCAUUGAUACUAUAGGUCUUGAAUUUUCUGGAGGUGAGCGGAAUAUGUCAUGUAGCGGUGAAAUGCUUAGAUAUGACAUAGAACACCAAUUGCGAAGGCAGCUCGCUACAGGAAUAUUGACACUGAGGCACGAAAGCGUGGGGAUCAAACAGG